Molecule: long non-coding RNA, 2233 nt
Filed under: Homo sapiens (human)
Lineage: Eukaryota; Metazoa; Chordata; Mammalia; Primates; Hominidae
Description: HSALNT0403462
Source: RNAcentral
CACCAACUGUUUCAUUGGCCUUAAAAAAUACUAGGCUAAACUUAAGUGGUAAAGAUCUGAAAUAAAAAGAUGCAUCUUUAUGUCUGAACAGCAAUUUUUCAUAGGUCUCUAAUAACUUGCAUUUCCUUAUCUAUGGAUAAGGAGAUCUGAAAUUGAUCUACAUUUUCUUUAGUAAUGUUUUCUCUGUUUAUUGAGAACAGAUAUCUUCAUCUCCUUCAUGCAUUAUCCUUAGUAACAGAUGUCAGUAGGAUCCAGAGCCAUUUUGGAACUUUACCAAGGAUUAAGGAUGAGCACAGAUCACAUCAAGAGUCUGUAAGAAGACAGUAUUUCUGAUUUAGACCCAUAAAGACAGUAUCUCAUAAUUGUGAGCAAAGAUUGCAUGUGAAGGAUUAUAUUUGUUUUUCCUGACAAGAUGUUGCAUACUAUGGAAUGUAAAUUUUUGUGAUGAUUGGAGAGGAACUGAGCUCCUUUCUAGCUCAGUUUCUUUCUAGCUCAGUCCCUUUCCAAUCACCAUAAAAUGGAAGCACAAACCUUCAACAAAAUAUAUUCCUUAGCUGAGCUUGAGAUUUUGCAUAGCCUCUCAUUUAUUCUUUCUAGAAUCAGUAAAGUGCAUUAGGAUUCAGAAGACUCCACUUGUUCUAUUUGCUCUCCAUUGCAUUAUGACUUCAUCAGGCACUGCUAUCAUGGGGCACUGGUAACAAAUGUAUGUACUUUCUAAAUACUUACGAUGUAGUAGCUAGGUGGCUACAUGUUGGGCAAAAUGGGAUAAGACAAUAUCAUUUUAACAUGCUUCAAGUACUAUGUCAAGGUCUUACUAUGUACUAUUUCAUUUUAAUCCUAAAAAAAAAAAAACACUCAGAAGAAGGUAUGAUCGGGUAUAUUUUAUAGAUACAGAGGCUAGAGUUCAGAGACAUGAACCUACCUGGCCCCCUCUGCACAUAAACAAUUAUUAAAAAUAUCACUUUGGAGGCCAUGUGCAGAUCAGAUUUGGAAGUGACCAAGACUGGAGGCAGGGACACCAGAGUUUUCUGUUAAAAACUGGUCCAUGCAAGAAAAGAUGACUCCUGAAAUAAGACAGUGAUCAUUAGGAUGAAGAGGAAGAGAAGAUUUGAGGAAUACUUAGAACAGAAUUUACUGAAUUUACUGGUUGAAUUGAAUGUGAAGAGGAGAUGAAUAAAGAAGAAAACACCCUCAAAGGAACAAAUAUGAAACAAUCUCUGGAAAAUGGAAUUUGAUUUUGAUUCAACAACAGGAGAAUUCUACUGUUUUUCUCCAGCAGCUCCACGAUAAAAGGGAACCCUGAGCAGAACACAUGCACAAACUCAUGCCAUACCCUAAGGGACAAGGUUCCCCACAUCUACUUGGAAAUCUUUGGGAUGCUCAAUGAUUAGCUCUUUGGAACUGAGAGAUGAGAUGAGGCCUGGAAAACUUCCCCCAGUACAGUCAAGUUCCUGUUGACUAAUUCUGUGACCACCAGUGACAGUCUUUGAGUCCGUGAGGCAGAGUUGCGGCAGCACAGGCUUUGCUUGGAGUUGGAUGGUUCGCACCCUGCUUGGCAUGGUUUCUAAGAGACAUCCUCUGAGUGGAUGAGGGGAGAAUCCAGCAGGCCUCUAGUCACACUGGACAGUUGCUCUGAUUCAUUUCUGGACUUCAGUGGAAGAAGCAGCCCUUAUUUAGGAUAUUGUUAGUCUUUGGCAGAGGGAAUACAAAGCAAUGGAAGGGUGAUGUGAUGGCUCCGAAAGCUUCUGUUGGAUGUAGAAUAUAAAGUUUGCUCACCUUUUUUAAUCCAAAGAGAAAAACAAGGAGAGAAAAAUCUAAACCCAGCAGAAGAGAAAGUUUAAGAAAGCGGUCGUCGCCAAUACCAAAAUUAGCUAUGAUAUUCAGGAAGAAAAAAAUGGAAACACGAUAACCACAGUCAAUAAAGACCAAGGCCACAUUCCAUUGACCAGAGCUCAGCCACGCGCCACACCUGGCUAAAGAGACUCUGGCUGAAGAAUUCCCUGAAUAUUUUAAUGUAGCUCUAGGUUAUAACACAGAACAACCACAAGGUGGCAGAAGAACUCCAUUCUUGUAAAUCUCUUAGUUGCUUCUUUAUUUCAUCUUCCCUAUUCCAUCUAAUGUUCCCUGAAUUUUACUAUUUUGUUGGUUUGAAAAUAUGUGUGACUUACGUCCUUUAAAGGAUUUGGUUCGUAAGGUUUUGAAUAGACUGGAAUAUAAAACAUUUAUAGAAAAG